This 469-nucleotide ribosomal RNA is filed under the name uncultured bacterium. Its description in RNAcentral is "partial 16S ribosomal RNA". It matches the Rfam family "Bacterial small subunit ribosomal RNA", at positions 28 to 507 of the family's 1533-position model. The record is from RNAcentral.
GACGAACGCUGGCGGCGUGCUUAACACAUGCAAGUCGAACGGAAAGGCCCUGCUUGCAGGGUGCUCGAGUGGCGAACGGGUGAGUAACACGUGGGUGAUCUGCCCCUUACUUUGGGAUAAGCCUGGGAAACUGGGUCUAAUACUGGAUAGGACCAUGCUGUAGGUGGUGUGGUGGAAAGAUUAGUUUCGGUAAGGGAUGAGCUCGCGGCCUAUCAGCUUGUUGGUGGGGUAAUGGCCUACCAAGGCGUCGACGGGUAGCCGGCCUGAGAGGGUGGACGGCCACAUUGGGACGGAGAUACGGCCCAGACUCCUACGGGAGGCAGCAGUGGGGAAUAUUGCACAAUGGGCGCAAGCCUGAUGCAGCGACGCCGCGUGGGGGAUGACGGCCUCCGGGUUGUAAACUCCUUUCAGCCAUGACGAAGCCCUUGUGGUGACGGUAGUGGUAGAAGAAGCACCGGCUAACUACGUG